RNAcentral lists this long non-coding RNA (231 nucleotides) under Panax ginseng (ginseng). RNAcentral's name for it is "long non-coding RNA (PGIN_LNC016761)". The record is from RNAcentral. Lineage: Eukaryota; Viridiplantae; Streptophyta; Magnoliopsida; Apiales; Araliaceae.
UAUCAACUACAAAAUCAAAUGGCCAAAACUCACAUCUAGAGUAAAAUACAAAACAAAAGGAUACAUCGUGGACUGAUCAAUAUUUGACAUGAUAACCUAAUUAGCAGAUAGUACAAAUACGAGUCCUAUGUAUCAACUGUGACGCCCCUAAAAUAGGUAUACAUCACUCAUCUUGAGUCGUCAGAUACAUGGUACAAAAUUCAAAUACAAACUAAUAAUACAGCAGUCGUG